GCCUCUAGUGAGUGUUGUGGCGGCCCGUACCCUAAACCGACUCAGGUGGUCAGGUAGAGAAUACCAAGGCGAUCGGGUGAACUGUGGUUAAGGAACUCGGCAAAUUGCCCCCGUAACUUCGGGAGAAGGGGGACCUCUGCUGGUGAUGGGCCUUACGUUCUGAGCUGGUGGGGGUCGCAGUGGCCAGGGGGAAGCGACUGUUUACUAAAAACACAGGUCCGUGCGAAGUCGUAAGACGAUGUAUACGGACUGACGCCUGCCCGGUGCCGGAACGUUAAGGGGACCGCUUAGCCAGCUUCGGUUGGCGAAGGUGAGAACUUAAGCGCCGGUAAACGGCGGUGGUAACUAUAACCAUCCUAAGGUAGCGAAAUUCCUUGUCGGGUAAGUUCCGACCUGCGCGAAUGGCGUAACGACUUCCCCGCUGUCUCAACCACAGACCCGGCGAAAUUGCACUACGAGUAAAGAUGCUCGUUUCGCGCAGCAGGACGGAAAGACCCCGGGACCUUCACUACAGCUUGACAUUGGCGUUUGGAACGUCUUGUGUAGGAUAGGUGGGAGACUGGGAAGCUGUCACGCUAGUGAUGGUGGAGUCAUUGGUGAAAUACCACUCUGGUCGUUUUGAACGUCUAACUCUGGUCCGUGAUCCGGAUCGGGGACAGUGUCUGGUGGGUAGUUUAACUGGGGCGGUUGCCUCCUAAAGAGUAACGGAGGCGCCCAAAGGUUCCCUCAGCCUGGUUGGCAAUCAGGUGUUGAGUGUAAGUGCACAAGGGAGCUUGACUGUGAGACUGACAGGUCGAGCAGGAGCGAAAGCUGGGACUAGUGAUCCGGCAUCGGCGUGUGGAAGCGGUGUCGCUCAACGGCUAAAAGGUACCCCGGGGAUAACAGGCUGAUCUUCCCCAAGAGUCCAUAUCGACGGGAUGGUUUGGCACCUCGAUGUCGGCUCGUCGCAUCCUGGGGCUGGAGUAGGUCCCAAGGGUUGGGCUGUUCGCCCAUUAAAGCGGUACGCGAGCUGGGUUUAGAACGUCGCGAGACAGUUCGGUCCCUAUCCGCUGCGCGCGCAGGAGACUUGAAGGGGGCUGUCCCUAGUACGAGAGGACCGGGACGGACGAACCUCUGGUGUGCCAGUUGUACCGCCAGGUGCACGGCUGGUUGGCUACGUUCGGAAGGGAUAACCGCUGAAAGCAUCUAAGCGGGAAGCUCGCCUUGAGAUGAGGUCUCCCACCACGAGAGUGGGUAAGGCUCCCGGUAGAUCACCGGGUUGAUAGGCCGGAGGUGGAAGCACGGCAACGUGUGGAGCUGACCGGUACUAAUAGGCCGAGGACUUGAUCA
RNAcentral lists this ribosomal RNA (1329 nucleotides) under metagenome. RNAcentral's name for it is "bacterial LSU rRNA". It matches the Rfam family "Bacterial large subunit ribosomal RNA", at positions 1617 to 2925 of the family's 2925-position model. The record is from RNAcentral.